GUUAGUCUCCUUCGGGCAAAAUUAAAAGUAGAGGAAAUGGUCAUCGUCCUAUACCUUUGCAGAAAAUUUAAAUGGCGCAAGAAGGCUUUCAGAUUGCGCCCUCCCCUCCAUCAAAAUAAAAGACUUAUUCUGGUGUGUCCACAUCUCAUCCUUCGACGUAACGUACUGAAGAGUCAUGUAUGUCCUCUGCUUAACCUCAGCUUGUAUUUGGACUCGACGAUUUUCCGUAACCAGAGCAGAAAGGUAGACAAUAUGAAGAAGAACGAAUUUUCUUUGUAA
This is a long non-coding RNA of Limulus polyphemus (Atlantic horseshoe crab), 279 nucleotides long. RefSeq lists it as uncharacterized. The record is from RefSeq and is a predicted model, not a curated record. The transcript is spliced from 3 exons. Lineage: Eukaryota; Metazoa; Arthropoda; Merostomata; Xiphosura; Limulidae.